Long non-coding RNA from Dreissena polymorpha, 226 nucleotides. RefSeq lists it as uncharacterized. The record is from RefSeq and is a predicted model, not a curated record. NCBI's taxonomy places the organism in Eukaryota, Metazoa, Mollusca, Bivalvia, Myida, Dreissenidae. The transcript is spliced from 4 exons.
AGAUAACACAUGACGACGCUUGCAAACGGCAUAAUGCGUUGGCUCAUUGCUGUUACGUGGCUAUUUCUUGUCCAUAAAGGUUUGUUUCAUUGAAAGAAGUAUUAAUUCGUUUGGAGAAGCAUUCUACUCCCUGGGAUGUACGAGAGAUCAAGUGUGCAGAAACCUAACUUCAACUUCUUCGACGAGUCAGUGCUCACAAUGUUGUCAUAAAGAUCUAUGUAACCAC